AUACGUAGGGUGCAAGCGUUAAUCGGAAUUACUGGGCGUAAAGCGUGCGCAGGCGGUUUUGUAAGACCGCGGUGAAAUCCCCGGGCUCAACCUGGGAACUGCCAUUGUGACUGCAAGGCUGGAGCCCGGCAGAGGGGGAUGGAAUUCCGCGUGUAGCCGUGAAAUGCGUAGGUAUGCGGAGGAUCACCGAUGGCGAAGGCAAUCCCCUGGGCCUGCACGGGCGCUCAUACACGAAUGCGUAGGGAGCAAACAGGAUUACAUACCCUAGUAGUCCACUCCCUAAACGAUGUCAACUGGUUAUUUAGGAUUUAUUUUCUAGUUAAUGUACGUAAGACGUGUACGGAACCGCCUUGCCUCUUCGGUCUUAAGGCUGAUGCUGAAACGAAUUAACGAGG
This 395-nucleotide ribosomal RNA is filed under the name uncultured bacterium. Its description in RNAcentral is "partial 16S ribosomal RNA". It matches the Rfam family "Bacterial small subunit ribosomal RNA", at positions 523 to 918 of the family's 1533-position model. The record is from RNAcentral.